GACGAACGCUGGCGGCGUGCUUAACACAUGCAAGUCGAACGGUGAACCAGAGCUUGCUCUGGGGAUCAGUGGCGAACGGGUGAGUAACACGUGGGCAACCUGCCCCAGACUCUGGGAUAACCUCGGGAAACCGAUGCUAAUACCGGAUACGACCACUUCGGACAUCCGACGGUGGUGGAAAGUUUUUCGGUCUGGGAUGGGCCCGCGGCCUAUCAGCUAGUUGGUGGGGUAAUGGCCUACCAAGGCGACGACGGGUAGCCGGCCUGAGAGGGCGACCGGCCACACUGGAACUGAGACACGGUCCAGACUCCUACGGGAGGCAGCAGUGGGGAAUAUUGCACAAUGGGCGAAAGCCUGAUGCAGCGACGCCGCGUGAGGGACGACGGCCUCGGGUUGUAAACUCUUCAGCAGGACGAAGCGAAAGUGACUGUACCUGCAGAAGAAGCACCGGCUAACUACGUGCCAGCAGCCGCGGUAAU
RNAcentral lists this ribosomal RNA (479 nucleotides) under uncultured bacterium. RNAcentral describes it as "bacterial SSU rRNA". It matches the Rfam family "Bacterial small subunit ribosomal RNA", at positions 28 to 524 of the family's 1533-position model. The record is from RNAcentral.